GCAAGUCGAACGGUAACGGGGGGGGCUUGCUCCCUGCCGACGAGUGGCGGACGGGUGAGUAAUGCAUCGGAACGUGCCCAUGUUGUGGGGGAUAGCUCGGCGAAAGCCGGAUUAAUACCGCAUACGCCCUUCGGGGGAAAGCGGGGGAUCUUCGGACCUCGCGCAAUUGGAGCGGCCGAUGUCGGAUUAGCUUGUAGGUGGGGUAAAGGCCUACCAAGGCAACGAUCUAUAGCUGGUCUGAGAGGACGAUC
Molecule: ribosomal RNA, 251 nt
Filed under: uncultured bacterium
Lineage: Bacteria
Description: partial 16S ribosomal RNA
Rfam family: Bacterial small subunit ribosomal RNA
Source: RNAcentral